AUGCCUCCCUGCAGCCUACACGCGCCCAGCACCGGCGGCCCGGCCACCUUCAAGUGUGAUGACUCCGUUUCCUCAAGGACGACCUCCCAACACGACGACGCCGCCGGAUCUCAAAUGACCUCAGGCGCCCCAGCUACACUGUCCCUUUGUGGAGUUCCAUCGUUCUCAUCGUCUCCCAUCACAACUUGGUAUCCCCUCCUUUGCUCUAAGAUCAUUUCAUGUUGGCCAGGGCACAUACAGUUAAUCGUGUUUUCUCUUGCAUUGUUGAUCCCAAAAGGACAUAUGCUGUAUCAUGGUUACAACUACAGAUGCAUACCAAUAUGA
This 324-nucleotide ribosomal RNA is filed under the name Triticum aestivum (bread wheat). Its description in RNAcentral is "partial small subunit ribosomal RNA". Lineage: Eukaryota; Viridiplantae; Streptophyta; Magnoliopsida; Poales; Poaceae. The record is from RNAcentral.